AUUGAACGCUGGCGGCAGGCCUAACACAUGCAAGUCGAACGAGUGGCGGACGGGUGAGUAAUGUCUGGGAAACUGCCUGAUGGAGGGGGCUAACUACUGGAAACGAUAGCUAAUACCGCAUACCAUCAGAUGUUCCCAGAUGGGAUUGGCUAGUAGGUGGGGUAACGGCUCACCUAGGCGACGAUCCCUAGCUGGUCUGAGAGGAUGACCAGCAACACGUGAACUGAGACACGGUCCAGACUCCUACGGGAGGCAGCAGUGGGGAAUAUUGCACACUGGGCGCAAGCCUGAUGCAGCCAUGCCGGGUGUAUGAAGAAGGCCUUCGGGUUGUAAAGUACUUGCAGCGGGGAGGCGUUACCCGCAGAAGAAGCACCGGCUAACUCCGUGCCAGCAGCCGCGGUAAUUC
This 406-nucleotide ribosomal RNA is filed under the name uncultured bacterium. Its description in RNAcentral is "partial 16S ribosomal RNA". It matches the Rfam family "Bacterial small subunit ribosomal RNA", at positions 30 to 526 of the family's 1533-position model. The record is from RNAcentral.